GUCAUCCAGGAAUCUGGCCAAUGACAACUGGGCACGCCUCCUACCGCUCAAAUUUGAAUUUACACACCAGUCCGUUGCUGCUCUGUUUAUCUGCAGUCCUGCUCCGUUCAGUGCACUAGUAAUGGCUUUUACAUGGAUUAGCACAUAUCUGACAGAUGAAUUCUUAUUUUGACCGAUUUUGAGUUAUGCGGUGCAGAUUGAGAACGAAAAAGCGUGAAUAUGAACACAGACACAAUGGCUAAUGGACACAUAUUGCAAACGGCAGAAGAGAGGACAUGAAACCACCAUUCUUGGACUCUGAAGAAUACUAUGCAAACCAUGCUUUUGGAUCUACUGUUAAGUUUUUGUAAUAAAGCUGAGGUUUUGGGAUUGAAAAUCUUCUGCCACAUGAUCCGUAAAAGUGAGUAUACAUGUCAUGCUAACAUUAAUUCUUUAAAUGAUCAUGUGCUAUUAUAUGUGCUGAAAUGUGAACACAGCAAAGCAGGUAAACUCUGCACCAAGGCACCACUCUGAUUCAAAGUUCAUUCUUGAGUUUAGCUCACUCAACAUGAAAACUCCCUCAUCAUUUUCUCACCCUCAUGUCUUUUUUGAUCUUCUUUUGUGUUCCACAGAAAAAAGUCAGUUAUGCAGAUUGGAAAAGACAUGGAUGCAGCAAGGAUCCAGCUGAUUACUUCAGAUUUGGUGGACUGCUCUUUAUCUGCUGUGACUGUCACUUCUGGUGCAGAAUCAUGGACCUUUAUUUGUAUGUUUUGAUUUGACUUAUUACACUUGUGUAGCUAGUAUUCAGGAUUAAAAUACAAUGUAAUUUUUGUCCACAUAUAUUAUCAGAGCUAUAUGGAAUCCAAUAGGGUCAGUCAAAUAUUGAGAAAAAACACUAUAAACCUGACUGGGAAAAUACAAGCUAAAAUACAGUUGCCUCCACAAUCUUUUUCAAAGAAAAAAUCAUGAUACUAUAACCCUAACUUGUAAGAUAAAAAUGUAAUUUUUAGUUUUUCAAUUGCUCCUCAAGAAUUCCUCCUCAGGAAUUUGUUUAUAUAUAUUUACAUCUAAAUAAUGAAACAGUUUUAAGCAUGGAAUACACUACACGACUUCUGAACAGAUUUUUAAAACAGAUUUUUGACUUUGUAAAUAAUGACAAAGGAAAGCUGGGCAUCAUAUCCUUAAGCCUGGAAUACACUACACGAUUUUUGCCCUGAUUUUUCGCCAAUUUACAGUCAGGAGAAGUUGACGCUAGUUGCCGAAAGUCAGAGCCAGUCUGCAGAUUUGAGAUGACAGAUUCCAUAGAAAAUUGCAUAGUUUAUGAUAGUCACAGACUCCGGGUUUUUAAGCUUCAGACUCUGAUUCUAUCGGAGGAUAUCAAAAAUUUUAUAUUUUCAGCCGAUUUUACAAUGCAUAUUGUUUUCAUUUGUCAUGCGUCUCCUAGCAACAAGGCUCAUGUUUCUGAGUGAGUUUUUUGUGAUCGGAACAACUUUAAAGUCUGGUAGUGUAUGAUCCUCAGUCAUGUAGUGUA
Onychostoma macrolepis is the source of this 1510-nucleotide long non-coding RNA. RefSeq lists it as uncharacterized. The transcript is spliced from 4 exons. Lineage: Eukaryota; Metazoa; Chordata; Actinopteri; Cypriniformes; Cyprinidae. The record is from RefSeq and is a predicted model, not a curated record.